AACGAACGCUGGCGGCAUGCCUAACACAUGCAAGUCGAACGAGACCUUCGGGUCUAGUGGCGCACGGGUGCGUAACGCGUGGGAACCUGCCCUUAGGUUCGGAAUAACUCCCCGAAAGGGGUGCUAAUACCGGAUAAUGUCUUCGGACCAAAGAUUUAUCGCCUUUGGAUGGGCCCGCGUUGGAUUAGCUAGUUGGUAGGGUAAAAGCCUACCAAGGCGACGAUCCAUAGCUGGUCUGAGAGGAUGAUCAGCCACACUGGGACUGAGACACGGCCCAGACCUCGGCGGGAGGGAGGAGUGGGGAAGAUUGGGCCAUGGGCGAAAGCCGGAACCCGGAAUGCCGGGUGGGGGAUUAAGGCCUUAGGGUUGUAAAGCCCUUUUCCCCGGGGUGAAUAAGGCCAUUCCGGGAAAAAAAGCCCCGGCUAACCCCG
Molecule: ribosomal RNA, 431 nt
Filed under: uncultured bacterium
Lineage: Bacteria
Description: partial 16S ribosomal RNA
Rfam family: Bacterial small subunit ribosomal RNA
Source: RNAcentral